AAUCUCCUCUAGGCUGGUACAGCAUCAAAGACCAUCUGCGCUGAUGGGUGGAGGUGCACAGGCCUUUGCUGGCCAGGAUAGCAGCAUCAGUCCAGCACCAGAUGAGCACAUCUUCACUGCUUGGAUAGAGACUGGACCAACCCCUGAUUUGUGGAAAUGGUCCUCUCCUGCUUCAUCAUGAGGUGUGUUGUUGAAGAAGUAUGUGAGAGCAGAAAAGAGUUAAAAUAGCAUUGUCAUCCCCUGAAUAGAACAUACCUAGGUCCUGUAUGAUACAGCAUCUGCACCGGGUAGGUGCACGCUGAGCAUGCUGUGGCUGGGCAAGGACUGCACAGAUCUGGGGGCAGUUUGCUAUUUCACAUGCUCUUACUGCACUCAGCACAGUAAAACACCUCCUCCAAGCUGAAGGAGGGACAGGAGCUUCUUCAUGCACUAUUUCCACCACGUCUGCCCAUCUCUACUCCUACCACUGACUAAUUGGUUUGGCUGCCUCAAGAUGACCUCUGAAGAGAUGUAACCUUUGAACCCAUGGUAAGAACUUGAUUCUCUACAAAAGACAUCUAAAAGAAGAGGAUGGAAAAGAAAACGCAAUCAUAUUUUGUUCCUCCAAAAAUACAACAACCCCACUCCAGCAAAAUCCUACUUUCCAGCCUGACGGUGCUGGCCCAGCUCACUUACAGAGCUGCAGUCACCACGUUCCUCCAGGUUAUCGUUUCCUCUAGAUUGCACUGCUGCAAGUCAAGGUGAUUGAAGCGUGGGGGUGUAAAGCAAUCUGCAAUGGGUCAGUAAGCUGUUGCAAGUCAGUGUUAGCUGCUAAGAUUUGAUCCCAGACCCACUGACUGCCUGAAACAAUGCGCUUGUCCAAGGGAACCAUGAAUCAAGUGCUGUAAACCAUGCUAAAUAAAAAAUCUAGCAUGCUUUUAUUCUUUGGUUACACUUAAAACAUUCAGCUUAUUUAUUUGGAUGUUACAUUACUGAAUUUCAAUUUUUAUGCUUCUUUUUGGGAAUCUUAGGCUCUGUUUAUUCUCAGGGUUCAAUUUCCAUGUCCAGAAUAAGUAUCAAAAAUGUCCUCACAGAAUCUGAACCUGAUCAGGUAGGAAACAUGCACUGGUCUGUAGGAAUAAAAUUCUGCUCAGAAUCUGCCCACUGUAAGUUGGAGGGACCAGUCCCCUUCUCUUUGCCCUUUGUCCUUCCUCAGCUUCAAAUAUAUAGGGCAUUCAGCAGGGUCUGCUAAUUAUUUUGGUCUUGUCCUAUUCAGUUUAAGCUUUCAUUUGCCUUGAUAGAAGAUUUGGACAACUUGUCUGUUGUUUUGCGUAAUGCUUUUUAAGGUUGCGUCCAUACUACUGCUUGAUGUGGAAGUUGUAUUGGUGACAUUCUCAAGGCAUGUCCUCAAUGUGUCUCUUGUUAUCUCACCAUUUGUGAUGCCCGAGGUUGCCUUGUCCUAUUUAGAUUUGUGAUGUAGAGGAGCUGACUUGCCAACUCAUAUGGAAGUUUGCACUCACUGUGGAGUGACUUAUCCUAUCAAAUUUCUGCUGUAGGUUUCUGUGGCCCUGCUCCGUGAAGAAGAGCUGACAUGGUCCCGUUGUUGGCAACUUUUAUUUCUGCAUCAGCAUAAAAGAUAUUUUUAAUACUACUUAAUAAAAAUACUUUUAAUACUACUUAAUACUAUUUUUAGAUGCUGUUUUUUUAAAGUUUAAAAGAUGUUCAAAAUCAUUUGUUUAGUUUUGAUGUUUGGUUCCCUGAUAUUCAUUGCUUCAUAGUUAACCCAGAGCAAUAUUGUCAUCACAGCAUUUCUUCCUCCAUAAAUAAGAAUUUGCCAGUAAGAAUUUCUCCCUUUGGUUAUUUUCCUGGUGGCCUUGUCAACGCCCUGUGGAGCCACCAGUGAUCUCACCAAGGAGCAGCGGGGGCCGUUCUCUUGAGCUGAAUGGUGACAACAGGAGGUUGGCGGAGGUCAGUGGGGCUUUUGCUGGCACCCUCAGCCUUAAACAGCAUGCCUUUGGUGACUGUUCCCCUGCACUGAAAUCUUGUAGCAUGCAAGUGCUGUUGGAAAGCAACCAGGAGAUAUCGCACCUCUGUCCUACAGGUGACCUCUCACCCCUUAUAGCAUCAAAGGCAGAAAUCUGUCGGGUUCAGUGUGAGCUGAUUUAGGUGCCUAAAUACCAUGGAAAAACUGUAUGCAAGCUGCACAUAACAGCGGUGGCUUUCUCCCAGCCCAGCAGAGCUGGAUUUCCUCUGGGACAGCUGGAACAGGGGAAUAAACCACCUCUCCCCAGCUGGAGCACAGGCAGCUUGCAAGCCGUGCCACGGCCUGCGAGGCAGGAAGGCCUUUUCCAUCAGAGGGCUGAUGGUUCUGAGGCAGCCUCUGCAGGAAAGCCAGAACAAUGGGAAACCAGAGUUAACCUCGCUUCUCCAGGCGGAUUUGGGGAUGAAAUGGAGGAGGAGCAGCGCUGGCUCGGUGCCACAGCUCUGCAUGCGGUGGGGAUGGAGAAGCUGCGAUAACAUGGCUCCUUGGCUGAGGCUUUAAAAAGAAGGCGCUCACUUUUUCUGUUGUUUUUUCAAGCAUUACAUAAAAGUUCCCCUCAAAAGGCCAAAGGCAGCUGUUUUCUUAGGACAAGGAAGUCAGGAAGAGGCAAAGCAGGCAAAAACAUCAGAUAAGUCUGGGAGAGGAAAAAAAAAAAAAAGGGAAAAAGAAAAACUUGGCUAACCUAUUUUUCCCCCCUCUUAAACAGCCAAACCUCUGCAGAGCUCUGUCUAGGAGGAAAAGCAGAGCUGACGACUGACAACCGGUACCCGUGCUCCAGUGAGGACCGCUGCUCUCGCUCCCCUCUGGGCA
Cygnus olor (mute swan) is the source of this 2830-nucleotide long non-coding RNA. RefSeq lists it as uncharacterized. Lineage: Eukaryota; Metazoa; Chordata; Aves; Anseriformes; Anatidae. The transcript is spliced from 4 exons. The record is from RefSeq and is a predicted model, not a curated record.